RNAcentral lists this ribosomal RNA (533 nucleotides) under uncultured bacterium. RNAcentral's name for it is "partial 16S ribosomal RNA". It matches the Rfam family "Bacterial small subunit ribosomal RNA", at positions 355 to 903 of the family's 1533-position model. The record is from RNAcentral.
UGGGGAAUAUUGCACAAUGGGCGAAAGCCUGAUGCAGCAACGCCGCGUGAGUGAUGAAGGUCUUCGGAUUGUAAAGCUCUGUCUUUUGGGACGAUAAUGACGGUACCAAAGGAGGAAGCCACGGCUAACUACGUGCCAGCAGCCGCGGUAAUACGUAGGUGGCGAGCGUUGUCCGGAUUUACUGGGCGUAAAGGGUGCGUAGGCGGAUGUUUAAGUGAGAUGUGAAAUACCCGGGCUUAACUUGGGUGCUGCAUUUCAAACUGGAUAUCUAGAGUGCAGGAGAGGAGAAUGGAAUUCCUAGUGUAGCGGUGAAAUGCGUAGAGAUUAGGAAGAACACCAGUGGCGAAGGCGAUUCUCUGGACUGUAACUGACGCUGAGGCACGAAAGCGUGGGUAGCAAACAGGAUUAGAUACCCUGGUAGUCCACGCCGUAAACGAUGAGUACUAGGUGUAGGAGGUAUCGACCCCUUCUGUGCCGCAGUAAAACACAUUAAGUACUCCGCCUGGGAAGUACGAUCGCAAGAUUAAAACUCU